Molecule: long non-coding RNA, 1355 nt
Organism: Hemicordylus capensis (graceful crag lizard)
Lineage: Eukaryota; Metazoa; Chordata; Lepidosauria; Squamata; Cordylidae
Exons: 2
Source: RefSeq, a predicted model, not a curated record
UAAACUAACAGCAGCAGAGUAUUCCUUAGGGCAGGGUGACUGGGGCAACUGCCUCAAGCCUCGUGGUGGCACAGGCCCUGCUCUUGGCACACUGCCUUCCUCUCUCCCCCAGUCCCACCACUUAUCUUUCCCAGCAGCCCAGCUGGAGACGAUCUUUUGUGUCUGUGUGCAGCUUGAAAGGCUCCCAGGCAAGCUGCUAGAGUUCUGCCUCUCUGCUGUUCGGCGGGUAGGUGGGGCCUCCAGAGAUGCCUCCAUGCAGGCCCUCCUGAAGCCUGAAGCUCAGGAAAGAAGCAGGCAAAGAGUGUCCAGCACCCGAGCUCUCUGCAGACCCUCUGCCCAGCCCAACCUUAGUAAUGGAGGUAUCGGAUCUUCACUGGCAAAAUCUUCUAACAGGUGUGCAUCUAAGGAAGAAGUUGGCAAUCCCCUCAUUCUACUCUGGAAAUUGCAUGAAGCAUGAACAGCAUCGUCUAGGAAUUCUCGUAGGGUGGCCCAAUUGGCUAAAGAGGGGUUGAUUCAUUGUAAGCUCUUGGCAUCAUCCAUUAGCAAGGAAACUAACAGUAACUUUAAAGUAUAAGAACUUUAGCAGGCCAAGGGAGGGGCUAUUUGUCAUUUCCUGUGUCACAUGUGAUCAUUCUGCCUCCUUUGUAGGGAAUAUACAUUUGUUGAAAAAUGCUGCCUUGACACAAUAUUGUUGGCUUCUCUUUUAUAAUCUGUUUCCCCAGUUUAUUACUUUCAUUCUGUAUCUGUGGAUGUCAUCACAGAUUUCACUGAUGAAAAAUUCAACGUGAUGCCUCCUUCAGGUCUAGAUGGACUACAGACAUAUGUAUGUAGAUCCUAGGGGAAAAGUCUGACAUGUAUGUUAAACCCCAGAACAUGCUGGAUGCUUUGUUUUAACUCUGCUCAUUAAAGAGACACAAGAGAAUUACCAAGUGAGCAAUUUCAAUAUGUGUGAGAGACAGGUCUGGUAAUGGGAAGGCUAGACUAGUGUUUCAUGUGUGUGAUUGCAUUUAUUUCUAUCCAUCCAUUUUAAUGGUGGUUGUUUUCACCAGAGUGGGGUUUGCUAUCUCGGGAAACAGGAUCUUGCCUGUCCCUGCAUGGAUACAUUAUCAUCUCAUUCAUUUUUUUGGUUUUGGUUUUAGGGCAUGAUCCUGAAACUGCAGGGUACCUUUUGAUGAGGUGCUUAACGUCCUCCACUGAUUACAGUGGCACUGAAAAUGUUUAGAAUGUCAAAUGGCUGGGAAGCCUCAAAACUUAUACAGAUAAAACUGGUGAAUGGGCUAAAGUGUGGGGGUCUGUAAUAUUAGCCAACUACAAAGUGUUUUGAUAUAUUUAGUUAAUGAAAACCCUUGCUUGGA